CCGUAUGGGACGCGGAGGACAUUACCGAGUUUACAACUCCCAAACCCCUGUGAACAUACCUAUACGUUGCCUCGGCGGAUCAGCCCGCGCCCCGUAAAACGGGACGGCCCGCCCGAGGACCCCUAAACUCUGUUUUUAGUGGAACUUCUGAGUAAAACAAACAAAUAAAUCAAAACUUUCAACAACGGAUCUCUUGGUUCUGGCAUCGAUGAAGAACGCAGCAAAAUGCGAUAAGUAAUGUGAAUUGCAGAAUUCAGUGAAUCAUCGAAUCUUUGAACGCACAUUGCGCCCGCCAGUAUUCUGGCGGGCAUGCCUGUUCGAGCGUCAUUUCAACCCUCAAGCUCAGCUUGGUGUUGGGACUCGCGGUAACCCGCGUUCCCCAAAUCGAUUGGCGGUCACGUCGAGCUUCCAUAGCGUAGUAAUCAUACACCUCGUUACUGGUAAUCGUCGCGGCCACGCCGUAAAACCCCAACUUCUGAAUGUUGACCUCGGAUCAGGUAGGAAUACCCGCUGAACUUAAGCAUAUCAAUAAGCGGAGGAAAAGAAACCAACAGGGAUUGCCCUAGUAACGGC
RNAcentral lists this non-coding RNA (573 nucleotides) under Fusarium citri. RNAcentral's name for it is "sequence contains ITS1, 5.8S rRNA gene, ITS2, 28S rRNA gene". The stretch from base 174 to 327 matches the Rfam family "5.8S ribosomal RNA". The record is from RNAcentral. Lineage: Eukaryota; Fungi; Ascomycota; Sordariomycetes; Hypocreales; Nectriaceae.